This 1383-nucleotide ribosomal RNA is filed under the name uncultured bacterium. RNAcentral's name for it is "bacterial SSU rRNA". It matches the Rfam family "Bacterial small subunit ribosomal RNA", at positions 18 to 1395 of the family's 1533-position model. The record is from RNAcentral.
CCUGGCUCAGGAUGAACGCUAGCUACAGGCUUAACACAUGCAAGUCGAGGGGCAGCAUUUCAGUUUGCUUGCAAACUGGAGAUGGCGACCGGCGCACGGGUGAGUAACACGUAUCCAACCUGCCGAUAACUCGGGGAUAGCCUUUCGAAAGAAAGAUUAAUACCCGAUGGUAUAAUCAGACCGCAUGGUCUUGUUAUUAAAGAAUUUCGGUUAUCGAUGGGGAUGCGUUCCAUUAGGCAGUUGGUGAGGUAACGGCUCACCAAACCUUCGAUGGAUAGGGGUUCUGAGAGGAAGGUCCCCCACAUUGGAACUGAGACACGGUCCAAACUCCUACGGGAGGCAGCAGUGAGGAAUAUUGGUCAAUGGGCGCAGGCCUGAACCAGCCAAGUAGCGUGAAGGAUGACUGCCCUAUGGGUUGUAAACUUCUUUUAUAUGGGAAUAAAGUUUUCCACGUGUGGAAUUUUGUAUGUACCAUAUGAAUAAGGAUCGGCUAACUCCGUGCCAGCAGCCGCGGUAAUACGGAGGAUCCGAGCGUUAUCCGGAUUUAUUGGGUUUAAAGGGAGCGUAGGUGGACAGUUAAGUCAGUUGUGAAAGUUUGCGGCUCAACCGUAAAAUUGCAGUUGAUACUGGCUGUCUUGAGUACAGUAGAGGUGGGCGGAAUUCGUGGUGUAGCGGUGAAAUGCUUAGAUAUCACGAAGAACUCCGAUUGCGAAGGCAGCUCACUGGACUGCAACUGACACUGAUGCUCGAAAGUGUGGGUAUCAAACAGGAUUAGAUACCCUGGUAGUCCACACAGUAAACGAUGAAUACUCGCUGUUUGCGAUAUACAGUAAGCGGCCAAGCGAAAGCAUUAAGUAUUCCACCUGGGGAGUACGCCGGCAACGGUGAAACUCAAAGGAAUUGACGGGGGCCCGCACAAGCGGAGGAACAUGUGGUUUAAUUCGAUGAUACGCGAGGAACCUUACCCGGGCUUAAAUUGCAUUUGAAUAUAUUGGAAACAGUAUAGCCGUAAGGCAAAUGUGAAGGUGCUGCAUGGUUGUCGUCAGCUCGUGCCGUGAGGUGUCGGCUUAAGUGCCAUAACGAGCGCAACCCUUAUCUUUAGUUACUAACAGGUCAUGCUGAGGACUCUAGAGAGACUGCCGUCGUAAGAUGUGAGGAAGGUGGGGAUGACGUCAAAUCAGCACGGCCCUUACGUCCGGGGCUACACACGUGUUACAAUGGGGGGUACAGAAGGCAGCUACCUGGUGACAGGAUGCUAAUCCCAAAAGCCUCUCUCAGUUCGGAUCGAAGUCUGCAACCCGACUUCGUGAAGCUGGAUUCGCUAGUAAUCGCGCAUCAGCCAUGGCGCGGUGAAUACGUUCCCGGGCCUUGCACACACCGCCC